Molecule: long non-coding RNA, 463 nt
Organism: Oncorhynchus tshawytscha (Chinook salmon)
Lineage: Eukaryota; Metazoa; Chordata; Actinopteri; Salmoniformes; Salmonidae
Source: Ensembl
GUAUGUGUAUCAGUAUGUGUAGAACUAUGUCUGUGUAUCAGUAUGUGUAUAACUAUGUAUGUGUAUCAGUAUGUGUAGAACUAUGUAUGUGUAUCAGUAUGUGUAUCAGUAUGUGUAUCAGUAUGUGUAUCAGUAUGUGUAGAACUAUGUCUGUGUAUCAGUAUGUGUAUCAGUAUGUAACUAUGUAUGUGUAUCAGUAUGUGUAUCAGUAUGUGUAUCAGUAUGUGUAGAACUAUGUAUGUGUAUCAGUAUGUGUAGAACUAUGUAUGUGUAUCAGUAUGUGUAUCAGUAUGUGUAGAACUAUGUCUGUGUAUCAGUAUGUGUAUCAGUAUGUGUAGAACUAUGUAUGUGUAUCAGUAUAACUGUGUAUCAGUAUGUGUAUCAGUAUGUGUAGAACUAUGUAUGUGUAUCAGUAUGUGUAUAACUAUGUAUGUGUAUCAGUAUGUGUAGAACUAUGUCUGUG